UUGGUGGGGUAACGGCCUACCAAGGCGACGACGGGUAGCCGGCCUGAGAGGGCGACCGGCCACACUGGGACUGAGACACGGCCCAGACUCCUACGGGAGGCAGCAGUGGGGAAUAUUGCACAAUGGGCGAAAGCCUGAUGCAGCGACGCCGCGUGAGGGAUGACGGCCUUCGGGUUGUAAACCUCUUUCAGCUCCGACGAAGCGAAAGUGACGGUAGGAGCAGAAGAAGCACCGGCCAACUACGUGCCAGCAGCCGCGGUAAUACGUAGGGUGCAAGCGUUGUCCGGAAUUAUUGGGCGUAAAGAGCUCGUAGGCGGCUUGUCGCGUCGGCUGUGAAAACCUGGGGCUCAACCCCGGGCCUGCAGCCGAUACGGGCAAGCUAGAAUUCGGUAGGGGAGACUGGAAUUCCUGGUGUAGCGGUGAAAUGCGCAGAUAUCAGGAGGAACACCGGUGGCGAAGGCGGGUCUCUGGGCCGAUAUUGACGCUGAGGAGCGAAAGCGUGGGGAGCGAACAGGAUUAGAUACCCUGGUAGUCCACGCCGUAAACGUUGGGAACUAGGUGUGGGCCACAUUCCACGUGGUCUGUGCCGCAGCUAACGCAUUAAGUUCCCCGCCUGGGGAGUACGG
This 626-nucleotide ribosomal RNA is filed under the name uncultured bacterium. Its description in RNAcentral is "bacterial SSU rRNA". It matches the Rfam family "Bacterial small subunit ribosomal RNA", at positions 249 to 885 of the family's 1533-position model. The record is from RNAcentral.